AAUGAUAACUUGUGGAGGAGCAAACCAGGCAAAACACAUCCAAGUUCAAGAGGAAGUUGAACCUGGAAGCAAGGUCUGAGCAUUUUCAAAAUGACAGGAAAAUUGCAUCUGGAUUGUGCUAUGACUAAGGUGUUGGCGGUUUUUACAAAUUGAGGGCAAGAUCCUCCGCCAGCAAAAAUACUACGACUCUGCUUGUUUUAACGUGGUGGUCUGGAACCGAACUUCCGGUAUCUCGGAGGUAUGCCUGCAUUUGGAAGAUUGCACUGAGGUAUUCAGUAUCCUGCUCAUUGUAAUCCAGUCUGCCCUGGAGAGAACAUGAUAAUUACUUCAAUAACAAACCGGUGAUGAUCUAGAGGAAGAAUCAGGAGGCCCUGUAUCCCCUUCAAAGGUUGUCGGUACCCUUAGAAGACCUCUCCCUGGCACCAGGGCUUGUGCUAAGCUGACGAUUGCUGAGGAUGGAAGAAAUCCAGAUCCUAAUGUCUUCAGAUGGAAGGGCUCCGCUACCAACGUACACUGGCUUUUUUUUUAAUGACUGCUGGCUCAGUUGCAGUGAAGCUGUUGAUGUGUGAGCGGCACUGGGGUCAUGUCUACACCGUGUGGAAGCAGCCUGUCCGAGAGGACCCAGUUGAGCUUUGGAGGGAAGAGCAGGUUCUACUCCCAGGACAGAGACAACACUAACAGCUUGCCUGAUCAACCUGCAGAGCAUUUCUAAGGUGAACAGGAUGAUGCUGCCACAGAAAAGCAUUGGUUUCUGCCCAUGGACAUUGUAAAAGAUGGCCUCUAGGAUCUGAAGGCUGUCUUCCUCAAGAAACUUUCAAGCUGCAACCACCAAGAAAUAAACCCCACUAAUAACCUGGAAGCCUCUCUUUCCCCAUUUGAGUUCCAGUGUGACUGCAGCCCCGCUGAUACCUGAGUUGAAGCCCAGUGAGGACCUGUGUCCAAACUUCUGACCUGCAGAGACUAGGAGAUAAGGAAUAUGUGGUGGUUUAAGCCACUAAAUUUGUUGUGACUUGUUAUGUAUAAAUAGAAAGAUAAUAUACUUUGUUCUCAGUUUCUUCAAAUGGGACAUGAAAAAUAUGGUAUUUAGCUCACAGCAAUGUAUAAAAAAUUAAAUACAUGUUCAUUGGUAUAUUAUAUAUUUUGAAGUUGUUUUAUUUUUCCAUAUCUGAAUUUAAUUUUUCUGAGUUCUCAUUCCUUUAGGAAUGUAAAUUCAGUUCAUUCUUCAUUUUUUCUGGGGUACUGGCUUUGCAUCUAAUUUCAGGUAAAGGUAGCUAAAUAAUCACAAAGACCUUGGUCUUGCAGGAGGUUAUCUGGGUUGAGAUCAAGGCAUCCAAUGUGCCUUGCCUGUGGGGAAAAAAUGGUGUUUUGCAAGAGCAUCUUUUGAAAAAUGGAUUUGGAAAUUAACUUUCUUUCUGAACAAAUGUAACCUGGUGCUUUCUUUUGCAAUCCUUUCAGUAAUAAUGUUACUUUAUCUGUUUUUGCUGGAGAAGUACAUUUCUGAAUGAUGUCUAUGUAAUUUUGGACUGUACAUUUAUAGAGAUACAUUUAAAAAAUUUUAUCCCAGAAGUCACUGCUUUUCGCUUUCUCAGGAAAAAGAAACCAAAUGGUUUAUCUGAAGGUUCACAGUGUUUUGUUAGAAAAUUGCACAAAGUGCUGAUCUUUUAUUCCACUAGUGGAUAAAACUUCUUAACGAUCAAUGCACUAGAGACCACUGGUCCAAUAAAAUCCAUUUGUCAGAUGUACACACUUCUUUUGCUUCUGCUUUAAAAACUGUAACUCUCUUACAUUAAGUUACCCCAGCAAAACUGAUUCAUACUGUACACUUUUAUUAAUAUCUUAUUGUUUUUAAAUUUAUGUCAUUCUUAGUUAAGGUAUGUUGCACUAUUAAGUUAUUGAUUUAUUUUUAUAAAUUCAUAUUCAAUGCAAUAAUAAUUAACAAUGAAAAAAUACACUUAACCUCACAUUUAAAAUGUGUGAAAUAUAUCUAAAUAGCAUAUUUAAUUGCUAUUUUUUUCUCUGAAACUACUAGUUAGUAGUCUGUAGAAAACCAUCUGUGCUCUUUGGACCAAUCUGGAAGAAAGUAGAGAUAGGGAAGAAUGUAAAACAUGGCGUGUUGUAUGGGACGAGGUAAUACAUUGACACAUGAAAAAUAUAUUUCUAAUACUUCCUUUCCUAUCACCCAUUAAAACAUUACAAUCAAGCCUAAGUUUUCUAGGGUACAGGGUUUCCUUAUUGUCAGAGGAAUUAUCUCUUCAAAUUUCCAGAGCCUAUUUAUAGAAAAUCUUCAUUUAUCUGAUGAGUAUCUUAGCAUCAUUAAAAGCAGCAAGAAAAGUUGUGAUCUUCCUGUCAUGAAGAAGCUGCUGUGAAGGUCAAAUCUCUGGCCGAAAAGAUGCCAGGAGUUGGCAGAGAACACAGGACAAGACUAAUAGCUUCUCGUAGAAAAAGCAGUAAUGACAGUAAUGGCCAUUACCAUGCACUAAGGCCUCUUCCCACUUCCAGAGCCAGUAUAUAUCCCCUGGAACCCUGUCCUGUUCACCAUAAAUGGGCAAGGAGCCCCGAGAUUGGCCUGAGCCAGAUGUGUUAGUAGUCAUCAUGAGUAGAUGGGUUCUGAUAUUAGAUUUAACUCCACUGAGAAAUUGUAAAAUGUGUAUAUUUCUCACCUAUGAGUUCAAUGAAACAAAUUCUUAUCAGCUUAUAUGGCACAUACCUGAAAAUAAAAGUAAAAUCCUAGUGGAGAAUUAAGGAUUGAAAGAAGCCAGCUAGAAAAUUUAAAAUUUUAAAAACGGGGGGCCCCUUUGCUAGUAACAUAUUGUAAUAAGAUUGAAAUAUGUUUUUAUUAUGAACGAGUGUAAGUAUUCUUGACUCUACAAGUUUUAAAAUGCUGUCAUAUCAAGAUAGGAGAAUGGUGAGAAGAAAUUAUAAAGACUCAAUCUUUAUAUGGUUAUACAUCCUAGAAAAGAAUUAUCCUAAAGAUUUUGCCAGACUUACCCCUAACAGAAAUUCAGGAUCACAUAAGAUAUACCAUUGGUAUAGAUAACGAAACCUUUAUUCCUCAGUGGGCAAAAAACUGUACUUCCCUUAGGAGGCAGAUAAAAGGUUACUGGUGAAGCUGUGUUUAACUUUUUGUGUAGAUGCUAUAGUAGUUUACUGAUGACUGUGGACAUAUUUAAUUCAGGAGAUACUAUGAUUUUCAAAGAUAACUGAUUUUCUAUAUUGAAGUAGACAUUAAGAUAAUGUUUAAAAAGUUGUAAGGUUACUUUCUACCUAAAAAUGUUACAUUUUUGGCCAAUGCAACUUAAAUUGUCAUCUUGUUAGCUCAUAGUAAAAUGUUAUAUUCUGUUACUUAUUCCUGACAUUAAGUAAAAUAUAUGAACUAAAAACUAAAAGAGUUAAUAUUUGAAAUACAUCAUUUUUAUAAUAUGGACAGCUCUGCCCUUUUCUUCCUGAGAAUACUAUCCUCCACAUGUCUUUUUUUUUAUUCAGAACUGAUAUAAUGUUAAUAAUAUUCCACAUGUUAAUUAUCUAGAAACCAUAUGAAAAUGUUGGGGGUGGGGGAAAAAUGCAAACCAUCAAACAAACUAAUGAAAUAUUUUAACAUUAAAUUUCAAAGUACAAGAAAAUUACAAAAAACUUCAGCUACAGUAUCGUUAACUAAUACUACUUCAUGGAAAGACGUCCCCAUUUUGAAUUGUAAAUGAAGCAUCUUCCUUCUUAUUUCAAGUUACAAUUUGGGGAUAACCAAUUUCUCAGGAUUCUUCACAACUUUGUAUCUUUUGGAAGCAAAUAAACAAGGAUAAUUAUAAUUUUUGUGUUGAAAGCAUAAAAUGACUGGAUGGAAAACAUUUACAAAGAUGUGUGGGGCUUCCUUUUCCUAGUGAAGGGAGCCUAGGUUAUUGGAAUCAACUAAUCAACUAUAAAUUUAAGCACACCAGGAAGAAUGAACAAAAAAUAUCAAAAGGAUAUGAAAAGAACACAUUUUUAUUGAAAUUACAGAAAUCAAAGAGUAAAAAUGAAAGCAGACAAAAAUAACCCUCCAAUGACUGAUAUCUGACAGCCAGAAGACAACACAAAGUUCUUUAAUUUGCUGAAAAAAAUAUUUGGCUCCUCAGAAUUCUAUAACAGUGAAAAUAUCUGUCAGGUUUGGAGGGAAAAUGGCAUUGAGAUAAAUAAAAACUAACAGACCCAUCCAUACGAAAGGAAAUUCUAGAGGAAGCAUUUCCGGUAGCAGGAAAUGAUUCCAGUGAAGUGUGUGUGUUACAUAAAGUAAGGAAGAACAAAACUGAAAAAAGCAAAACCAAACUAAACAAAGAUGAAUUUUUAAAAAACACUGUGUGUAAAAUAACAUUUUUCCCACAAGGAGAGGAUGAGUGUAGCAAGUUAAAUCAUAGCUCCAGUGUUUAAAGUAUAUGGUGGGAAACAUUACUCAGGAGUGGGUCUCUUGUUUUGUUUUGUUUUUGUUUCUCUUUGAUGAACAUGUAAAGCUUGUAUAAGAAAAUAGUUAGAAAUUACAAAACUGACUAAGUAUACAGAUUAUUUUCACCAUUAAGAAAAAUUGAGUACAGUCCUCAAAUUUAAUGGGUGACUCUACUAGUGCUGUUUAGCAUCAUUGUUCACAACUUUGGAUAGUUUAGUACUAGCAUGUAUCAACAGAUGUUGUAAAUGAGCAAGGUUAAGUAGUCAACAUGCAUAACUUCAUAUUCUUCAUUGCUAUUCUAGUGGAAUUUUUGAUGAACUUUGUGCCAAAGAGCUCAGAGAGCACACAUACAGUAAAUGACAGAUGUGAUUUACUUCAAGAAAACAUUAAAACCAAAUUCAAUUUAUUGAUUUAUAUAAUAAUUACUUAGUUUAAAUUUAAGUGUAAUUAGUAUUUUAAAAAAUAAGCUUCUAGCAUAUUUAAGCAUAUUUCACAAAUAACAUGUUUUAAAAGGGUGGGGGCCAAAGGAGCACGUGAGUUCCAAUAAAGGUAUUUUUUUUUUGUUCGCUACUUCAGGAAAAAUUACUCACUUCUGAAAGAGUGAGCACUUUUCUUAAUCUUUAAAUAUAGGAUUUGUAUGAUUAACAGACAUCUCAUGAUUGAAUUAGAAAUAUUAACAUCAGCAAUGUGUUCCAAAUAUCCAUCACCAAAUGAAAUUUACUAAUAUCACUGCAUUAUAAUUUAUGAACUAUAUGACUGAGUAGUAAUGCUUGCUUGCAUAUAAAUUUUUUUAUAUUUCAUUAUGAUUAAAAUGUUUAUUAAAAUAACAUUUAUAUACUGUUUCUCCUUUCUAUCCCAUUUAACUGAUAUAUUAAACUCCCAGAUUUUUACCCCCUAGAAUCUUAUGAAAGGACUUUUAAAAUUUAGUUUUGGUUUUUAAAUAUAUUGUAAUAAUUCAGAGUUGCCACAUUUUGGCGAAAAGAUGUAUGACAGAAGAAACAAUUUUGAGCUGGAGGGCAGGAUGGCAUGUAAGGGGAAGAAGUGUGAGUUUUUUGUGUAUAUGUGAAUAAGGGAAAUUUAAUACUGCAAAUAUCACAUUGUGUGACUUAAAUCAGUUGUACAUGACUUGGUAAGUAACAUAAUAAGCAUUGAAUUGAUGGAAGCAGAUAAUGAGUCUAGCAGGUUUAAGUUAAUGAAAUAAAGUGAGUGAAAACAAGAUAGCUGCCUACUGAGACAAUAAAAGAUUGAGGGUACUGUAGGCUAAGGAAGUAACUGAGAUUAAAAACAAUGAUAAUAGUAAUAACAAUAAUAAAAAUGAUGUGAGAGCUAAAAGUCACUGCAUGAUUAGUAUAUGCAGGCUUUUUUUUAAACUGCUGAGUGACAAUUUCAAAUGGGAAGUAAAAUAGAGAAAAAACAAUUCUAUGUUCUCCAUAAAGAAAGAAAAAGUUAAGGUACUAAUAGAAGUGAAGGACUUAAGAUGGAAAAAUUCAUUCAUUCAACAGGUAUUUAUUGACUUUUCUAUAAUGUACAAAGAAUUAUGCUAUUUGAUGGGAAUGAAAGCAUAAAGAAUAAAUAUAGUUUCUACCUUUUUGAAAUUUAAAUUUGGUGGAUGAAAUGAGUAUUAAUUAAAUAUCCCACACAGAGACGUAAAAUUACAACCACAAUUAUUAAGCUUACAAAGAAGAGAUUUGUGAUGCUGGAAAGAACAUUAUAGAGAAAAUUCAAUCUUGUCAGAAAGACUGAAAAUGAUUUUCUGACAAUAUGAAUCCUGAGUUCAAUUGGAUAAAAUUACAGUAAGAAAAAGCACAGGUUUGACCAAAUCUUGAAUAUGUACACUUUAGGACUUAAUAGAAAAAUGUUUAAAAAACAUCAGGUAGAGCUGGUUUUUUGAGACUGAAGAAAGAGUGAAGAGAAGUUAAUGUAAAAAUCAGUCACUGGCCAAAUAAAAAUAUUCAAAUGAAAAUGUUAAAUUUGGGCCUUAGUUUUUUAUUAAAUAUGGUAUCUUGCUAAAUACUCAGAUGAUAGAUGUACUAGCUCAUUAUAUACUUUAAUUUUCUAGUGUCAUUAUGCAAUAAGAUUUUUCCAGAUAUAAAAUUUACCAUCUUCUAAAUAUCAUAUCUGUCAUUCAGGCCAUCUGAAUGACAUAAAUAAUGAGAUUAUUCCCACUCUAUUUUGUGUUAUAACACAAUGCACAUCCCUCCUACCAAGCAUUUUAUAUAAAUUAGUGCAAACUUUUAAAAAUUAUAUUUAUUUUUUUAGAGUAUGGACAAGGGAGGGAGAAAAAGAGGGAGAGAAACAUUGGUUGCCUCUCACAUGCCCCCAAAUGCAGGCCCCCAACUAGAAACUGGGCCCACAACCCAGGCAUAUGCCUUGACCAGGAAUUGAACUGGUGACCUUUUGCUCCUCUGGGUGAUGCACAACCCACUGAACCACACUGGUCAGGACUAAGUCACUGCAUACUUAAUGUUAAAUGUGAUUCUCACACUUGUGUAUGGACUCCAACACAGAGUUAUAUUACUUUAUUAGCCCAUUUACCACCUACUCUGCCCUACUAUUAGAUAAAUCUUUGAACCUGAGAUGUUUGGGAUUACUUCGGGUGGUAAUUUAAGCACCCUUCUGGUUUGCCAUUUAUUGUCUAUUUCGAAAACUGUUAUAUAUCUGUGGUCUUUAUUAAAAAAUUAAAUUGGUUUAAUCAGUACUGAUUAAGACAAUUAUUUGAUUCCAGUAAGAAAUUAUUAGUAGUGAAGGCAUAUCACUUUUCAGAGAAUUAUUUUUGUUAUAUAUAUAUAUUUAAAAAUAUAUUCCUUUUUAUAAUAUAUUUACCACAUAUAAGCAAUCAGACUCUUCUACUCUCAUUGUAUAUUGGAUAGGCUUUAAAAUUAUAAAUACUAUUCUGUAUGCCUAUUACUAGCAAUAGUAGGAAGUGAUUCACAUCUUUCAAAUUCGCCAAAUUUUAUAGCACAUAAUCAUAUAUACACACACUUUGGUGAUGUUAUAGAGGAAGUUAAAUGUAUUUAAAUUUUAUUAUUUUGUAAUGUUAGGUUCUAGAUAUCUCUUAAAAGGAAAGUCAGGCUUUCUCUUGAAAUGUAUUUAACAAUUUAGCAGAUAAAUUAUUUUGCCUAUAUUUCACCUCAUUUUUAAGUGUGUGGGAGGAAAAAAUCAAUGUAUUUUGAUCACUUAUACAGUAUUUAAAGUUUAUUAUUUUGUAAUGUUGGCUUCUCAAUAUAUGUAAAAUUCAGACUUUCUUCUUGAAAUAUAUUAAUUUAGCAGAUGAAUUAUUAUGCCUACAUGCUUUUCAUCUCAUUUUUAAGUGUGUGGGAAGAAGAACAAUAUAUUUUAUCACUUGCACCAAGUUAAUAUUCUAAUGUUUCAAAAACAUUAUGACUAGUACAAAUUACAGAAAAAUAUAAUCAGUAUUAUAAUAUUUCAUAUGGACCCCUUGAGUUUAUAGUUUUACAUGGAGUCUGGCAGAAGUAAGGCCUGCUUGAGUGUGUUGGUGGGUAAUAGUAUGGGUGUAAUAAUUUAUAGUUUUAAUUUGAACAUUCACCUAAAAUGUCACAUGGUAUGUUUGAGUGUGAUAUUGUCAUGUUACAGAAUU
Long non-coding RNA from Artibeus jamaicensis (Jamaican fruit-eating bat), 8012 nucleotides. RefSeq lists it as uncharacterized. The transcript has 9 exons. Lineage: Eukaryota; Metazoa; Chordata; Mammalia; Chiroptera; Phyllostomidae. The record is from RefSeq and is a predicted model, not a curated record.